CCCUUAGAUGUCCUGGGCUGCACGCGCGCUACACUGAUGUGUCCAGUAAGCACCUAACCUCUUCCGAAAGGAACGGGUAACCUUUGCAAAGCACAUCGUGAUGGGGAUAGAUUAUUGCAAUUAUUAGUCUUGAACGAGGAAUUCCUAGUAAGCACAAGUCAUCAGCUUGUGUUGAUUACGUCCCUGCCCUUUGUACACACCGCCCGUCGCUCCUACCGAUUGAGUGUUCCGGUGAAUAAUUCGGACUGCAGCAGCGUGGGGACUCCUCAUGCUGCAGCGGAAAGUUUGGUGAACCUUAACACUUAGAGGAAGGAGAAGUCGUAACA
Molecule: ribosomal RNA, 326 nt
Filed under: uncultured eukaryote
Lineage: Eukaryota
Description: partial 18S ribosomal RNA
Rfam family: Eukaryotic small subunit ribosomal RNA
Source: RNAcentral